CUACCCCAAAUCUCAGAAUGUGACCUUAUUUGGGAAAAGAGUCUUUGCAGAUAUAAUUAAGGUAAGAGUCAAGAUAAAAUCACACUGAAUUAAGGUGAGCCCUACAUGCAAUGAGACUGUCCUUACAAGAUACAGAAAAGAACACAUAGAGACUUCGGGGGAAAGGAGACUAUGUGCAAGAAUGGCAGAGAUUGGAGCCAAGGAGUGCCUGGGCCUACCAGAGGCUGCAAGAGACAGGGAGGACCCUCCCCUAGAGCCUCCAGAGGGAACAGAGCCAUGCCCACACCUUGACUUUGGACUCCUGGCCUCCAGAACUGUGAGAGGACCUAGGACCCCACGAGAGGAGGGAUCUGGAGGCCAAGCCAGGAGCAGGACAACACCAACAGAGGCCUCAGAAGAAGACUCAGAGUGGGACAGGGGCUCCUUAAGUGAUUGGGGCUGGAAGUGCGCAGAGAAGCCCGGCGCGGCAGGGAAUUGUCUCUCCCUGGGGUGCUGCCAAGAUGAAGAAACUGAGGUUUAGAGCAGCCGCUUGCCCAGCGUAGACAGCGAGAAGGACAGGUCCAGUUCUGCUUGAUGAUGAAGCCUGUGUCUUCUCUGCUGUGUGAUCCUAAUCACGUUGGGAGGUUCCUGAGGAAGCAGAGGAUUUUGCCCUUGCAUUUGAGCCACAGCAGCUCUAAGAAACAUGCCAAGUUAGCCGUCUGGUCCCACGAGAAACAUGGGAAACGGGGAUCAGAGCCAUCCUAGCCGAACUCAGCCCAGAUCAGCAGGCCUUAGUGGACCCCAAGAUAGGUAAGUCCAGAGCUGCCCAAUUGAACCCAGUCUAGAUCAGCUGACCCUCAGCCUCCUCUGCUGCAGGUGUGUGAGAAUUAAUGAGUAUUGUUUGUCAAUGAUUUCUUAUUCGGUAUGUUUGUAGCCAUGGUUAAUGGAUACAGAAGGCAAACUUCAUUGUUUACCAUGGGGUCAGUAUCAGAGCACUU
This 977-nucleotide long non-coding RNA is filed under the name Homo sapiens (human). Its description in RNAcentral is "non-protein coding lnc-JPH3-3:5". The record is from RNAcentral. Lineage: Eukaryota; Metazoa; Chordata; Mammalia; Primates; Hominidae.